RNAcentral lists this ribosomal RNA (428 nucleotides) under uncultured marine bacterium. RNAcentral describes it as "bacterial SSU rRNA". It matches the Rfam family "Bacterial small subunit ribosomal RNA", at positions 359 to 804 of the family's 1533-position model. The record is from RNAcentral.
AGCCUGAUCCAAGCAAUGAAAGCCUGUGACAAAAGCGGGGCGUGGGUGUUGAAGGCUCAGGGGGGAUAACUCCCUUUUGCCGAAGAAGAAUUUGGGCGGUCGCCGCCGAAUAAAGCAGGGCCAACUAAGUCCCAGCAACCAGCGUAAGAGGUAGGGGGGGAGCGUUAUCCGGAUAUAAUUGGUGUAAAGCGUACGUAGGCGGCUCCAAAAUUCUGUCUCGAAAUUUCCCCCCUCAACCGGGAGCGGCCGAUGGUAACUGAGGCCCUCGAGGGGUAUAGAGGCAAGAGGAAGUAUAGGAGUAGUGGUGGAAGAAGUCGAUACCGGGAGGAACACCAGUGGCGCAGGCGGGGUGCCAGUCGCAUCCUGACGUUGAGGUACGAAAGCGUGGGUAGCGAACCGGAUUAGAUACCCUGGUAGUCCACGCCGUA